RNAcentral lists this ribosomal RNA (428 nucleotides) under uncultured bacterium. RNAcentral's name for it is "bacterial SSU rRNA". It matches the Rfam family "Bacterial small subunit ribosomal RNA", at positions 355 to 775 of the family's 1533-position model. The record is from RNAcentral.
UGGGGAAUCUUGCGCAAUGCGCGAAAGCGUGACGCAGCAACGCCGCGUGAGGGAAGACGGCCUUCGGGUUGUAAACCUCUUUCAGGAGGGACGAAGGUUCGCCCGCGAAUAGCGAGGCGGACUGACGGUACCUCCAGAAGAAGCCCCGGCUAACUACGUGCCAGCAGCCGCGGUAAUACGUAGGGGGCAAGCGUUGUCCGGAAUCAUUGGGCGUAAAGCGCGCGUAGGCGGCCCGGUAAGUCCGCUGUAAAAGUCAAAGGCUCAACCUUUGAAUGCCGGUGGAUACUGUCGGGCUAGAGUCCGGAAGAGGCGAGUGGAAUUCCUGGUGUAGCGGUGGAAUGCGCAGAUAUCAGGAGGAACACCAAUAGCGAAGGCAGCUCGCUGGGACGGUACUGACGCUGAGGCGCGAAAGCGUGGGGAGCGAACAG